This 418-nucleotide unclassified non-coding RNA is filed under the name soil metagenome. RNAcentral's name for it is "partial contains 5.8S ribosomal RNA, internal transcribed spacer 2, and large subunit ribosomal RNA". The stretch from base 1 to 120 matches the Rfam family "5.8S ribosomal RNA", at positions 35 to 154 of the family's 154-position model. The record is from RNAcentral.
GAUGAAGAACGUAGCGAAAUGCGAUAAGUAAUGUGAAUUGCAGAAUUCAGUGAAUCAUCGAAUCUUUGAACGCAUCUUGCGCUCCUUGGUAUUCCUUGGAGCAUGCCUGUUUGAGUAUCAUGAGCAAACCUCAAAGUCAAUUCCUUUUGUUAAUUCAAUUGGUUUUGCUUUGGACUUGGAGGUCUUGCAGAUUUCACAGUCUGCUCCUCUUAAAUGCAUUAGCUGGAUCUCAGUAAUUAUGCUUGGUUCCACUCGGCGUGAUAAGUAUCACUCGCUGAGGACACUGUUAAAAAGGUGGCCAGGAAAAUACUGAUUGAACCGCUUCUAACGGUCUAUUAAGUUAGACAAUUACCCUUCAGUUUGAUCUCAAAUCAGGUAGGACUACCCGCUGAACUUAAGCAUAUCAAUAAGCGGAGGA